RNAcentral lists this ribosomal RNA (468 nucleotides) under uncultured bacterium. RNAcentral's name for it is "partial 16S ribosomal RNA". It matches the Rfam family "Bacterial small subunit ribosomal RNA", at positions 28 to 507 of the family's 1533-position model. The record is from RNAcentral.
GACGAACGCUGGCGGCGUGCUUAACACAUGCAAGUCGAACGGACAGGCCCUGCUUUUGUUGCUUGCUCGAUUGGCGAACGCGGGAGUAACACGUGUGUAUCCUGCCCCUGUCUUUCUGAUAACUUCACGAAACUGCGGCUAAUACCGGAUAUGAGCUCCUGCUCCAUGGUGGUGGUUGGAAAGUUUCGGCGGUGGUGUCUGAACUCGCAGCUUAUCAGCUUGUUGGUGGGGUAGUGGAUUACCAAGGCUUUGACGGCUAGCCGGCCUGAGAGGGUGACCGGCGACACUGGGACUGAGGUACGGCCCAGACUCCUACUGGAGGCAGAAGUGGAGAGUAUGACGCAAUAGGCGGACGCGUGAUGCGACAGUGCCGCGUGCGGAAUGAUGGGUUACGGGGGAUAAACAGAUUUCGCCGUUGACGAGGCGUGAGUGACGGUAAUGAGUAAAGAAGCACCGGCUAACUACGUG